RNAcentral lists this long non-coding RNA (3844 nucleotides) under Olea europaea subsp. europaea. Lineage: Eukaryota; Viridiplantae; Streptophyta; Magnoliopsida; Lamiales; Oleaceae. The record is from RNAcentral.
GGAAACUCAUUUUAUUUGCUUUUGUUUCGUGAAUUUUGAGCAGAUGCGGUUGAUCCUGAGUCAAUGACUGAAAAUGCAGUGGAAAAUGAUGAUAAAGAAAAACUGCCUUCACAACUUCUGGGAUUGAGAUCAAUUGCUAAUCCAGAUGAGUCUUAUAUAAUCAAGGAGCGGAUGUCACAGGCUCUUCGAUACUUUAAAGAUUUGACUGGAGAGCAUGUCUUGGCUCAAGUUUGGGCACCAGUUAAGAAUGGUGGUCGGUAUGUGCUGACUACUUCGGGGCAGCCCUUUGUUCUUGACCCUAACAGUAAUGGACUUCAUCAGUAUAGGCUAGUCUCUCUGAUGUAUAUGUUUUCUGUGGAUGGAGUGACUGAGGGAGCCCUUGGACUUCCUGGUCGUGUAUUUCGGCAAAAGUUACCUGAAUGGACACCUAACGUGCAGUACUAUUCUAGCAAGGAAUUUCCACGGCUGGACCAUGCUCUGAAUUAUAACGUUCGCGGAACUUUGGCUUUGCCUGUAUUUGAACCUUCUGGACAGUCCUGUGUUGGUGUACUUGAGCUCAUAAUGACUUCCCAGAAAAUUAAUUAUGCUCCUGAGGUUGAUAAAGUAUGCAAAGCACUUGAGGUUGGUUAAGCAUUCUCUUCAUAAUACAUCAUUAUUUCAAGAUCUUGCAUUUUUUGGUAGGAACUGUUAAAGAUUCCUUGAUAAAAAUUGCAGCAAGGAUUAGUGACUGUCUGAUUGUAGCAAUCAUAAUAACUGCGUUCUUUUAUGUGUGAGAAGCUUCUAAAAUUUUUAUCCCUAGGAAUUAUUUCCAGAAUUGGAUAUAGGAGAAUGGCACUUCUUUCUGAAAUAUGGCCUCUAGCAGCAUGACAUUGAUAGACACUUUAAUGUCAUUUUCUACUACUAAGAUUUUAAGAACCUAUACCUUUAAAAUUUCACUGGAUGAUGGAUUUGCUUUUCACAUACGAAAUGGAAGCUUUAUUGUGAGAUUGGAUUUAUUUACUUCAUAUAUGUUAUAGAUACCAAAGUGCUAAACAUGACGAUGUGCUUAAAAAGAUUUAUUACACUGGAGUAAGAUAAGCAUUUCGUGUCAAUAAAAUGGUAAAUCUUAUUUGUCUCGUGCAACACGUUCUAUUCAUUAUUUUUUGAUGAUAUCAAUUUGUUUGUGUUCUAACUUCUACCCAUUAGGAUUCUUCAGUUACAUAAAUUCAGUUGUUCUGCAGGCUGUGAAUUUGAAAAGUUCAGAGAUUUUGGAUCAUCCCAGCACACAGGUAAGCAGCAAAUUUUAAGUGAAGAUCAUAUCUAUAAUGAAGUAAUUGAGCCUGUGUUUGACAACCAGUAAAAUGAAAUUUUUGGGGAAAAUGAGUUUUGGAAUAAUGAUUUUUUUGGAGAAUAUGUGGUUAAAAAAUAGCAAAAAAGUUUGGAUUUACGUGUAAAAUAUUUUAUUUUGAAAAUGUGUAGUCGAAAAUGAGUUUGAGAACAAAAGAGUUUUGUUAUACUGAUUGUCAAACAGGGCCAUAAUUUUCUGAUCAAAUAAUCUAUUUGGCUAUCGUGUACACACCAGAUAUGCAACCAAGGUCGCCAAAAUGCGCUGGCUGAGAUCUUGGAGAUACUAACAAUGGUAUGUGAGACUCACACAUUACCGCUGGCUCAGACAUGGAUUCCUUGCAGACAUCGGAAUGUCCUAGCAGAUGGCGGAGGUUUUAAGAAAACUUGCAGUAGCUUUGAUGGAAGUUGCAUGGGACAGGUAUGCAUGUCAACAACUGAUGUAUCAUAUUAUGUGGUAGAUGCGCAUAUGUGGGGCUUCCGCGAGGCCUGUGCCGAGCAUCACUUACAGAAGGGCCAGGGAGUUGCCGGGAGGGCAUUUGAGUCGCAUAACUUGUGCUUCUGUGACGAUAUCACCCAAUUCUGCAAAACAGAGUAUCCCUUGGUACAUUAUGCUCGCAUGUUUGGGUUGAAAAGUAGCAUCGCAAUUUGUUUACGGAGCCGUCAUACUGGAAAUGACGAUUACGUUUUAGAAUUCUUUCUUCCUCCAAAUAUCCAAGACCAGAGUGACCAAAGGACUUUGUUGGAUGCAGUGUUGAUGACAAUGAAACAGCAUUUUGGGAGCCUGAGGGUUGCUUCAGGGAAUGACCUCGAACAUGAAUGGAGAUCUGUUGAGAUUAUAAAAGCAUCCAUGGAUGAGAAAUUUGAUUCAAGGUUUGAUUUUGCUGCAAAUUCUCCCCUAAAGUCUGCUGCCUUGCCAAAUGAAGAGGCAGUGCAUCUUCAUUCACUGGAAAAGCAGCAAUUGGAAGGAUUUAAUGCUACUAAUAAUGAAGAAAAUGCUGUAUCUUUUGUUGAGAAUAAAGAACAGGUCAAGAAAUCAGAGAGAAAACGAGGAAAGGCAGAGAAGACGAUCAGCCUAGAGGUUCUGCAGCAAUACUUCGCCGGGAGUCUUAAGGAUGCUGCCAAGAGUCUUGGUGGUAUGCUUUAAUCUUAGUGCCCGUUGCUUAUCAUUUUAUUCACUUCAAAUGAUUCUCUUGAAUAAUUAUAAUUAUAAUUUAUUUUUAUUUUAUUAUUAUUAUUAUUAUUUUUUUUUUUGUGACUUAUACAGUUUGUCCUACUACCAUGAAGCGCAUCUGCAGGCAACAUGGGAUCUUAAGAUGGCCCUCUCGUAAGAUUAACAAAGUUAAUCAUUCUCUUUCUAAGCUAAAACGCGUAAUUGAAUCUGUACAAGGUGCUGAAGGAGCAUUCAGUUUGACUUCUUUGGCUACAAAUUCGAUUCCUGUUGCUGUUGGUUCAAUUUCAUGGUCAGCAAGUAUGAACGAGCCGCCUGAUCAACAAAGUUCACCAAGGCCUAGACCAUCUGAAUUUCGAGAGGAUGAGCAUGAACUUCCUACCCUUCAGGCAUCUGGAGGCGAUGAACUGACAGAGAUUUUAGGAACUGAGGAACUUAUCCCGCAGCAAACUGGAACUUUGCUCUGUGAAGGUUCUAUCAGAUCAAAAACAGGGAGUAGGUCGAGAGAAGAAAGCACAGGAACCCCAACUUCUUAUGGUUCAUGCCAAGAUAGUCCUUUUCUUGGAAAUGAAAACUCCCUACAAAAUGAUCCAGCCGUUUCACUUGUCAAUGAAAAUCACAUAAAACUCACGAGUUCACUUGAGUUUACAUGUCAACCAAUGAAGGAGAUUAAUUUAUCCGUUGCAUUGUCGUUACCCAAACCCGAUGAUUUUGUUACAGCACCCCGAGAGCCAUUUGGAGAAAUGCUAAUUGAGGAUGCAGGAAGCUCACGCAAUCUUUGUAAUCUUUGCCCAGAUCGUGAGACUUUGUUUGAUGAACACGUCCCAGAAUACAGUGGGACGAAACAACCAUGUUUUGAUGCAAUUCCCAGUUCCACGGUUGUUCCUAUUGAUCGAAUGCCACAGGUUUCUACCGGGACAGAACUGAAAACCAUCACGAUAAAAGCCACUUACCAAGAAGAUAUUAUUAGGUUUCGACUCUCUUUGGGCUCGGGCAUUGUCACGUUGAAGGAGGAAGUGGCAAAGAGGCUGAAGAUGGAGGUUGGCACGUUUGAUAUCAAGUACUUAGACGACGAUCAUGAGUGGGUUCUAAUUGCUUGUGACGCAGACUUGCAGGAAUGCAUUGAUGUUUCGAGGUCGUCAGGUAGAAAUAUAAUCAGACUGUUGAUUCAUGAUAUAAUGGGCAAUCUUGGGAGCUCCUGCGAGAGUUCGGGUGAAUGAGGAAUAGGGUUGUACAUAGUAAGCUCGUAGGAAAAUUCUUGCAGUCUCUGGUGAGUUCAAGUGUAAUUGUAAAUUUUGAUUAUGACCCUUCUUAAAUUUUAAGAAUUUAGUUGAUUUUUGAGCAUUUAGA